AUUGAACGCUGGCGGCGUGCUUAACACAUGCUAGUCGAUCGGUAACAGGCCUAGCUUUACGUGCUGACGAGCGGCGAACCGGUGAGUAAUGCUUCCGAAUCUUCCUCAUUGUGGGGAAUAACCUGGGGAAACUCCGGCUAAUACCGCAUACGAACUACGGUUGAAACCAGGGGAUCAAAAGACCUUGCGCUAUGAGAUGAUCCCAACUCUCAUUAGCUAUUUGGUGAGGUAACGGCUCACCAUCGCCACCAUCCGUAGCUGGUCUGAGAGGACAACCAGCCACACUGGGACUGAGACACGGCCCAGACUCCUACGGGAGGCAGCAGUGGGGAAUAUUGGACAAUGGGGGCAACCCUGAUCCACGACGCCGCGUGUGUGAAGAAGGCCUGCGGGUUGUAAAAGCACUUUUAGUGGGGAUGAAAAGCCUAAAGCUAAUACCUUUCGGUCUUGACCUAACCCCAACAAAAAAGCACCGGCUAACUCUGUGCCAGCAGCCGCGGUAAUACAGAGGGUGCAAGCGUUAAUCGGAAUUACUGGGCGUAGAGCGUGCGUAGUCGGUUAUUCAGGUCGGUGUGAAAGCCCCGGGCUCAACCUGGGAAUUGCAUUCGAUACUGGUUACCUAGAUUUCGGCAAGGGAAGCGGAAUUUCCGGUGUACCGGUGAAAUGCGUAGAUAUGGGAAGGAAACAUCAGUGGCGAAAGCCGGCUUCCUUGGUCCCAGAAUCUGACGAAUCAGGCCAAGAAAAGUGUGGGGGAACCAAACAGGAUUAGAUACCCUGGUAGUUCCACGCCCAUAAACGAUGACAACUAGACGUUGGGAGGGUAAGCCUCACAUUGUCGCAGCUAACGCGUUAAGUUGUCCCCUGGGGAGUACGGCCCGCAAGGUUAAACUCAAAGGAAUUGACGGGGACCCCCCCAAGCGGUGGAGCAUGUGGUUUAAUUCGAUGCAACGGGAAGACCCUUACCUGGCCUUGACAUCCAUGGAAUCCUGAAGAGAUUUGGGAGUGCCGCAAGGAACCAUGAGACAGGUGGUGCAUGGCUGUUGUCAGCUCGUGUCGUGAGAAGUUGGGUUAAGUCCCGCAACGAGCGCAACCCUUGUCCUUAGUUGCCAUCAUUAAGUUGGGAACUCUAAGGAGACCGCCGGUGACAAACCGGAGGAAGGUGGGGAUGACGUCAAGUCAUCAUGGCCUUUAUGGCCAGGGCUACACACGUGCUACAAUGGCAGGUACAGAGGGAAGCCAACCGGCGACGGGGAGCUAAUCCCAGAAAGCCUGUCUUAGUCCGGAUUGGAGUCUGCAACUCGACUCCAUGAAGUUGGAAUCGCUAGUAAUCGCAGAUCAGCAUUGCUGCGGUGAAUACGUUCCCGGGUCUUGUACACAC
Molecule: ribosomal RNA, 1378 nt
Filed under: uncultured bacterium
Lineage: Bacteria
Description: bacterial SSU rRNA
Rfam family: Bacterial small subunit ribosomal RNA
Source: RNAcentral